This 1710-nucleotide ribosomal RNA is filed under the name Triticum aestivum (bread wheat). Its description in RNAcentral is "partial small subunit ribosomal RNA". Lineage: Eukaryota; Viridiplantae; Streptophyta; Magnoliopsida; Poales; Poaceae. The record is from RNAcentral.
AUGGGAAGGGAGCAUGCAAGCCGGAUCCGCGCUCCUCUCCUUCUCUCCCGCAUCCCGCAUCUCGUCCCCCUUCCUCUCCCAUCGCCGCGUUCGCCGCCACCGCUGCUCUCCCCGUCGUCAUCGCGCCGCCAUCCCCGCCUCCUCCCUGGGCGCCGCAUCUCCUCCCUCUUCCUCUCCCACCGCCACGUUCGCCGCCACCGCUGCUCUUCCCGUCGCCCUCGCCCUCGCGGUGCCAUCCCUGCAUCCUCCCUGGACGCGGCGAGGAUGGCGACUGGGCGCUGCGGGCGCACUGAGCACGCCCCGGAGCACCGCGGCCUCUGGUUCGGCUUCUCGACUGGCGGCCGCCUCUGCGCAUGGGACGACUCCCUCCCUCGCAUCUCUCUCGCGCCGUCGUCGCCAUCCUGCGGUCUUCGUCCUUCCGCCCUCCCUUUCUCCAGUCUGAGCCACUGCCAGCAUGGGAGUGAGGCCCCCAUCACCGCUGAGGACCAGCCCACCGCGCUCGCUGCCGUCGGCCGCGCCGCGCUCGCCAGCGCACAGAGCACGCCUUUACAUGUUGUGAUUCAGGGCGUCGCUGAUGCCCUCCCUGUACAUGCCUUCGCCUCGUUUGAGGAGUACUGCAUCACAAGACAAUGGUGGGAUUCACGUCAAAGAGCCAAUAAAGUUUGGUAUAACGAACUGGCCACGCAAGUUCCUGAGUCGACAAGGCCACUCCUAAGGCAAAUUGCAGCCUGCACGGAUUGGUGCUUUAACAGAUUUUUCCUUGUGGUGUGGAAUCAGCUGCUCGAAGGGAAGAAGCUUGGGCUGAUUCCAAAUCUGACUUUGGGCAACUGCUUGAGGGAGUUUCCACUUCUCUUUUUGUGUGUGAUUCUUGCUAUAAUGGAACUGGCAUACAUGAGGUCUGCCCUGGGUUUUACCUUGGUCUUGCAGUUAGCAAAUCAACUUUUUGGAAUGUUCAAGCGCGGGGAGCGGGGUGGGGGCCGGCGUGAGGCAGUAAGCCAGCGCGCGGGCGUGGCCAGUGUGGGGUGCACGAGGAAGCAGAAGGCACGGGCGCGUGGCGCGCUUCGGCGCGCGCUUCGGCGCGGCCAGGAGCAGGGGUGCGGCGAUGCGGUUUUGCACGGGCCGGCGGGAGAGCGUGCUCGGCCACAGGGGCUAACGGAGGAGAAGGGGGAGCUCACGGGGUGUUGUAGGGAACGGGGCAGUGGGGCUCGAGGAGGAGGUCGGAGACGUCGUUCCGGUGGGGAGGCAGACCAUCAUGGUAGCUCCGGGUGGCGGCGGGGUCCGGUGGGCGUCGAGGUCGACGCGGUUGUCGGGGGCGAGCGCCGUCCGGUGGGGGAGGAGGAUGGGGAUGCGGCGCAGGAGGUUGGGAGCCGCGAGGAGGAGGCCGGGGGUGGCAGUGCUCGGCGCCGGCGGGCGGCGGCCUCUAGGGAGCGGCGGCUCGGGUGUCGGUCGCCCGCUCCACUGAGCGAGCUCGAGGUUAAGGCGGUGCCAACCUCAAGCUGGCUCCUCACCUCCAAGUGGAGAACGGGGAAGGUGACUAGAAGAUUCGGCCCCGUCGGCCCCCUGUGGUGGUGCGCGGCUGGCAACGGAGUCGCCGACGCCUUGAGAUGCGGGUACCCGGCUGAGCUAAGCCUUGCGUAUCUGAGCGAUGCGACGACCACGGCCAUUGUUCGGGCGGCCUACCAUGGCAGGGUGCACGCUGACGAUGGAUGA